This 429-nucleotide ribosomal RNA is filed under the name Bacteroidota bacterium. RNAcentral's name for it is "Bacteroidetes bacterium partial 16S ribosomal RNA". It matches the Rfam family "Bacterial small subunit ribosomal RNA", at positions 355 to 776 of the family's 1533-position model. The record is from RNAcentral. RNAcentral also lists the same sequence under 1 other name. Lineage: Bacteria; Pseudomonadati; Bacteroidota.
UAGGGAAUCUUCGGCAAUGGGGGGAACCCUGACCGAGCAACGCCGCGUGAGUGAAGAAGGUUUUCGGAUCGUAAAGCUCUGUUGUUAAGGAAGAACGAGUGUGAGAAUGGAAAGUUCAUGCUGUGAUGGUACUUAACCAGAAAGGGACGGCUAACUACGUGCCAGCAGCCGCGGUAAUACGUAGGUCCCGAGCGUUGUCCGGAUUUAUUGGGCGUAAAGCGAGCGCAGGCGGUUAGAAAAGUCUGAAGUGAAAGGCAGUGGCUCAACCAUUGUAGGCUUUGGAAACUGUUUAACUUGAGUGCAGAAGGGGAGAGUGGAAUUCCAUGUGUAGCGGUGAAAUGCGUAGAUAUAUGGAGGAACACCGGUGGCGAAAGCGGCUCUCUGGUCUGUAACUGACGCUGAGGCUCGAAAGCGUGGGGAGCGAACAGG